Molecule: long non-coding RNA, 1266 nt
Organism: Argiope bruennichi
Lineage: Eukaryota; Metazoa; Arthropoda; Arachnida; Araneae; Araneidae
Exons: 5
Source: RefSeq, a predicted model, not a curated record
UGAAAUGGAAAAUGAUUAAAUUUCAACAAUUAUUAACCCAAAACUUGCUUGCUGAACUUGAACACGCUCUUGAAGCAUAUAUAAACAGGAGAAGUUGGAGAUCUUUUACAACUAUGAUGAUAAUCUAAUGAAUCUAGCAAGUCUAGAGUCCUUUAGAAUUUUAACAUUCAAAUGGAGUAUACUAGCAGCAUCCUUAUUUUGUUGUUGUGGUUGAUUGGAGUUGUGGUUGCAAUAAGUGCUCUUACCUGUUUUCCAAAAUACUGUGUAGGAGUGGAUUGCAAUUCAGAUACAUGCAGAUCUGACCAACUGUAUAAUGAAGAAGAGCAUCUUUGUCGAUGUUGUUCAUUUUGCCCUGCAUUUGGUCUUCAACGUGCUGCAAAUUUAUAACCAUGCAAAAUAAAAAUUCAAGAUAUGAACAGAUGAUCUAACAUGGAAUUUUACGACAAUUGUGUAUCUGUAACAUAAAUGGUAGAUUGAAAGAGUAUUCUACCAGUUUUGGCUUUUCCUGAAAAUUGUUCAUUCAACUAAAAGAAAAAAAUGCAUAAGAGUCUCAUCCUUCUGAUAAUUUCUGUGGGAAUUGCUUAUGCAGUUGUUUGUGCUCCAAAUUACUGUGAUAGCGUCAAAUGCAAACCAAAAAAUUGCAAACAUAACCAAGUAUAUAAAAACAAUGGAUCCUUAUGUGGAUGUUGUCCGGUUUGCAUCGAUAUACUACAAAAAGGGGAAUCAUGUAAAGAACUCUUUAUGUUGCAAUCAUCUCCAAUGGUACGAUGUGCUAAAGGAUUGAGAUGCCACGCUGAAUCUCGUACAUGUGAAGAAUAAGGAUUCAUCAAGCUCAUCUAUGGAUGAUUUUUGCAUAAAUGAUGCUUUAUUGAAAUACUGCUUUAUAAGAGAAUUAUAAUAACUUUUAUUUUAUUUCGACUACAUUCAUGACGAUGUUAAGGAGUACUCAAAGAAUGUGAUUAUUUUCUGACGUUAUACUUACAAAUAAAACGUUAUACUCAGCUAUUGGAAUUAUGAAUAAUACUUAUAUUGUAUAUAUUGCUUUAUUUGGCAAUUUGAUAGUAAACCAAUUGAAUGGUAAUAAAAAGAAUAAUGACGAAAUUAUUAAAGUAAAUCAUAUUCUGAAUUCAAAUUGUUAUGUUUUAUUUUUUCAUGACUUUUUUUUUUAAUAUGCUUUUCGAUUUCACAAAUAUUACUUGUAACUUAAGCGAUCAUUCAGUGACUGAUCAUACCAAAGAAAACGAAAAUUCAAAUAAAUGUUAUUAA